This 301-nucleotide ribosomal RNA is filed under the name uncultured bacterium. RNAcentral's name for it is "partial 16S ribosomal RNA". It matches the Rfam family "Bacterial small subunit ribosomal RNA", at positions 509 to 809 of the family's 1533-position model. The record is from RNAcentral.
CAGCAGCCGCGGGAAUACGUAGGGCGCAAGCGUUAUCCGGAAUUAUUGGGCGUAAAGAGCUCGUAGGCGGUUUGUCGCGUCUGCCGUGAAAGUCCGGGGCUCAACCCCGGAUCUGCGGUGGGUACGGGCAGACUAGAGUGAUGUAGGGGAGACUGGAAUUCCUGGUGUAGCGGUGAAAUGCGCAGAUAUCAGGAGGAACACCGAUGGCGAAGGCAGGUCUCUGGGCAUUAACUGACGCUGAGGAGCGAAAGCAUGGGGAGCGAACAGGAUUAGAUACCCCCGUAGUCCCUGUCUCUUAUAA